GGCGGCGUAGCCAAGUGGGAAGGCGACGGUCUGCAAAACCGUUAUUCCCCGGUUCAAAUCCGGGCGCCGCCUCCA
Molecule: transfer RNA, 75 nt
Filed under: Candidatus Altarchaeales archaeon WOR_SM1_79
Lineage: Archaea; Nanobdellati; Candidatus Altarchaeota; Candidatus Altarchaeia; Candidatus Altarchaeales
Also listed under: 3 other names
Description: Candidatus Altiarchaeales archaeon WOR_SM1_79 tRNA-Cys
Rfam family: tRNA
About the family: Transfer RNA (tRNA) molecules are approximately 80 nucleotides in length. Their secondary structure includes four short double-helical elements and three loops (D, anti-codon, and T loops). Further hydrogen bonds mediate the characteristic L-shaped molecular structure. tRNAs have two regions of fundamental functional importance: the anti-codon, which is responsible for specific mRNA codon recognition, and the 3' end, to which the tRNAs corresponding amino acid is attached (by aminoacyl-tRNA synthetases). tRNAs cope with the degeneracy of the genetic code in two manners: having more than one tRNA (with a specific anti-codon) for a particular amino acid; and 'wobble' base-pairing, i.e. permitting non-standard base-pairing at the 3rd anti-codon position.
Source: RNAcentral